GCCUCAAGGUGAGAGAUACGGAGGUAGAGCACUGAAUGUCCUAGGGGGUAUUGCACCUACCGAAGACUAUCAAACUCCGAAUGCCGUCAUCUUAUACUUGGGAGUCAGACUGUGGGUGAUAAGAUUCAUAGUCGAAAGGGCAACAGCCCAGAUCGUCAGCUAAGGUCCCUAAAUGUAAGUUAAGUGGUAAAGGAUGUGGGAUUGCACAGACAACCAGGAUGUUGGCUUAGAAGCAGCCACUCAUUCAAAGAGUGCGUAAUAGCUCACUGGUCGAGUGAUCCUGCGCCGAAGAUUUCCGGGGCUAAAACUUACUACCGAAGCUACGGCAUCAGUAAUGAUGGGUAGGGGAGCUUCCCAUACGGGGUGAAGCAUGACCGUAAGGACAUGUGGACAGUAUGGGAGUGAGAAUGUUGGCAUGAGUAGCGAGAUGUGGGUGAGAAUCCCACAGGCCGUAAACCCAAGGUUUCCAGGGGAAGGUUCGUCCGCCCUGGGUUAGUCGGGACCUAAGCUGAGGCCGAAAGGCGUAGGUGAUGGACAACAGGUUGAUAUUCCUGUACUACCGAUAACCGUUUGAGAGAAGGGAUGACACAGUAGGAUAAGCUAAGCACACUGUUGGUUAUGUGUGCCCAAGCAUUGAGGCAGUCAAAGUAGGCAAAUCCGCUUUGAUAAUGCUGGGAUGUGAUGGGGAGCGAAAUUUAGUAGCGAAGUAGCUGAUUUCACACUGUCAAGAAAAGUCUCUAUCGAGGUUAAAGGUACCCGUACCGCAAACCGACACAGGUGGGUGAGGAGAGUAUCCUAAGGCCAGCGAGAGAACUGUUGUUAAGGAACUCGGCAAAAUGACCCCGUAACUUAGGGAUAAGGGGUGCCACCAUCAGGUGGCCGCAGAGAAUAGGCCCAAGCGACUGUUUACCAAAAACAUAGGUUUCUGCUAAGUCGCAAGACGAUGUAUAGGAGCUGACGCCUGCCCGGUGCUGGAAGGUUAAGGGGAUCUGUUAGAGCAAUCGAAGCAGUGAACUUAAGCCCCAGUAAACGGCGGCCGUAACUAUAACGGUCCUAAGGUAGCGAAAUUCCUUGUCGGGUAAGUUCCGACCCGCACGAAAGGCGUAACGAUUUGGGCACUGUCUCAACAACAGACUCGGUGAAAUUGUAAUUCCGGUGAAGAUGCCGGAUACCUGCGACAGGACGGAAAGACCCCAUGGAGCUUUACUGUAGCUUGACAUUGGGUCUUGGUACUACAUGUACAGGAUAGGUGGGAGGCUUUGAAACCAGGACGCCAGUUUUGGCGGAGCCAUCCUUGGGAUACCACCCUUGUAGUACUGGGACUCUAACCAUAGGCCAUGAAUCUGGUCUUGGGACACUGUCAGGUGGGCAGUUUGACUGGGGCGGUCGCCUCCCAAAAGGUAACGGAGGCGCUCAAAGGUUCUCUCAGUACGGUCGGAAAUCGUACGUAGAGUGUAAAGGCAAAAGAGAGCUUGAUUGCAAGACAUACAGGUCGAGCAAGGAUGAAAAUCGGACUUAGUGAUCCGGUGGUUCUGCGUGGAAGGGCCAUCGCUCAACGGAUAAAAGCUACCCUGGGGAUAACAGGCUUAUCUCCCCCAAGAGUCCACAUCGACGGGGAGGUUUGGCACCUCGAUGUCGGCUCAUCACAUCCUGGGGCUGUAGUAGGUCCCAAGGGUUGGGCUGUUCGCCCAUUAAAGUGGUACGCGAGCUGGGUUCAGAACGUCGUGAGACAGUUCGGUCCCUAUCCGUCGCAGGCGUAGGAAAUUUGAGAAGACCUGUCCUUAGUACGAGAGGACCGGGAUGGACGUACCUCUGGUGUACCAGUUGUNCUGCCAAGGGCAUGGCUGGGUAGCUAUGUACGGAAUGGAUAAGCGCUGAAAGCAUCUAAGCGCGAAGCCAACUUCAAGAUAAGAUUUCCCACCGCAAGGGUAAGACCCCAGAAAGACUAUCUGGUUGAUAGGUCGAAGGUGUAAGUGCAGCAAUGUAUUUAGCUUAUCGAUACUAAUAGGUCGAGGACUUGACCAA
Molecule: ribosomal RNA, 2025 nt
Filed under: Clostridioides difficile
Lineage: Bacteria; Bacillati; Bacillota; Clostridia; Peptostreptococcales; Peptostreptococcaceae
Description: 23S ribosomal RNA
Rfam family: Bacterial large subunit ribosomal RNA
Source: RNAcentral